CCUACGGGUGGCAGCAGUGAGGAAUAUUGGUCAAUGGACGGAAGCCUGAACCAGCCAAGCCGCGUGCAGGAUGAAGGUACUACGUGUCGUAAACCGCUUUUGUAAGGGGGCAAUAUCGGGUACGUGUCCCCGGAUGAAUGUACCUGACGAAUAAGGAUCGGCUAACUCCGUGCCAGCAGCCGCGGUAAUACGGAGGAUCCGAGCGUUAUCCGGAUUUAUUGGGUUUAAAGGGGGCGUAGGUGGUUUGUUAAGUCAGUUGUGAAAAUUUGCGGCUCAACCGCAGAAGUGCAACUGAUACUGGGAGGCUUGAGUAUAGGUGAGGUAGGCGGAAUGCGUGGUGUAGCGGUGAAAUGCGUAGAGAUCAUGCAGAACGCCGAUUGCGAAGGCAGCUUACCAAACUGUGACUGACAUUGAUGCACGAAAGCGUGGGUAUCAAACAGGAUUAGAUACCCCGGUAGUC
RNAcentral lists this ribosomal RNA (460 nucleotides) under uncultured bacterium. RNAcentral's name for it is "partial 16S ribosomal RNA". It matches the Rfam family "Bacterial small subunit ribosomal RNA", at positions 338 to 795 of the family's 1533-position model. The record is from RNAcentral.